UGGUGGUGUGAAUUGUCUGGUUGAUUCCGUUAACGAACGAGACCUUUGCCUACUAAAUAGCUGCUAGAAGAUAUUGCAUCAAGGCGUAGAGGCCUGCAGGUAGAAGGGUUCGUCCCCUAUUUGCAGUUGUUCUCUGCGUUGCUUUUCUUCUAGAAAAUGCUUCUUAGAGGGACUAUUUGUGACAAGCAAAUGGAAGUUGGAGGCUAGAACA
RNAcentral lists this ribosomal RNA (211 nucleotides) under uncultured eukaryote. Its description in RNAcentral is "partial 18S ribosomal RNA". It matches the Rfam family "Eukaryotic small subunit ribosomal RNA", at positions 1299 to 1458 of the family's 1831-position model. The record is from RNAcentral.